Molecule: transfer RNA, 69 nt
Filed under: Acheilognathus imberbis
Lineage: Eukaryota; Metazoa; Chordata; Actinopteri; Cypriniformes; Acheilognathidae
Description: tRNA-Ser
Source: RNAcentral
AAGAAGGGAUAGAAAUCAAUAAGUACUGCUAAUCCUUAGAAACCAGGGUUUGAAUCCUUGGCCUUCUUA